Long non-coding RNA from Cyprinus carpio (common carp), 2352 nucleotides. The record is from Ensembl. NCBI's taxonomy places the organism in Eukaryota, Metazoa, Chordata, Actinopteri, Cypriniformes, Cyprinidae.
AUGGCAGUUUUGCAUCAUCAGACGAUUCCCGUUUCUGAAUACUCUCCGGUGCCUUAUGCAUCUGUGGCACGACUGCUGCAUGGUCUGAAGGGUUACGUCACAGAAGUGGAAAGUGACGGCACGUGGGUUCUGCGCUGGACUCAUACAGAAUUCGCCUGCGUCGUCCUGCAGCGAUAUGCACCAACAGAAGACUCAAUAAAAGCUGUACAUGCAGACUUUGCAGAUUACUUUAAUGAGAAUGUCCCAAAUAGCCAAGUUUUUCAGCCGCUAGCCUGGAUCAGGAAGGAGAAGGGAAGAAGGUGCUAUGAAUUUAAUUUGCGCAAGCUCCACUGUUUGCCGUAUCAUUACAUCCACUCCGAGCAGAUUAUUCCUUUACUCACGCAGUGUCUGUUUAACUAUGAGUUCCUGCUGCACAAACUGUGGGGUCUGUCCAUCUAUCAUGUCGAGGAGGACCUUAAAGCUGCCGUCAUACCAGAGAAAGAGCUUCUGGAUGUGAAGGUGUUGGGUCAGGUUUUGUGUCUUUCUCGUUCUGUACUAUUAAAUGAUCCAUGCCAGCUGGCCUCUCAACUCUUAGGCCGUUUGGAGCGGAUCAUUUUCCAAGACAAGCCUGUUACUUCAGGUGACCCAAGACGAUACUCUUUUCUGCAUGAUCUGUUGGCACAGUGUAAGAGCUCUUCUUUACCAGUUCUCGUGCCCUCCUACACCUGCCUGCUUCCUCCAGGUGGACUCAUACACACACAGCUGUCAGGUCAUAUGAGUGCUGUGACAGCUCUAGCUCAUGGUCAGCAUUACAUAAUUUCCUGCUCCUGUGAUGGGAUGCUUAAUCUGUGGCAUCUGGAUGAGCAAACGAGACCCGUAAGGUCCUUACCGAGAGCUCACGGAUCUGCAGUAGACUGGGCCGCUGACUCGCUCACCCUCUGUCUGGAUGACAGUGUGCUUGUGCUACAGAUGGGCCACUGUCUCCAGGUGAGAGAGGUGGAUUCUGGGAAGGUGCUGUACAUGGAGAAGGAUUCUCUGGAUGUUCCUGUGGUCACAACUGCCUGCGAUGGACGGUUGCUGGUGGUUUUUUAUGACGGAAGUCACCUGGUUAAGGUGUUUGAUCUUGUGGCGUCCUGUUCACUGUUGCGUUGUGUAAACCUCACCCUUGAGUUCGAGCCCAUCCACAAAGAUCACUCCAUCUUAGUGUCUCGUCACUCUGUUAAAGACUAUCUUCUCUUCGCUUACAGGGAUGGAGGAGAAGCAGCAAUAUUCAAUGCUAAAGGUGGAGUUGUGUCAGUCACAUUGAAAGCUCAGCACCCUGCAGCAUCUAUACAGGCUGUAGAGAUCAGCUCUCAGUAUUUACUGCUCUUCUGCAGAUACCCCUAUAAAAGACAGAGUGAAAUCAUUCACAUUGAACUCUUCAGCACAGCAUCUUUCCAGUACCUGCGCUCUAUCUUGGGUUGCAGUCAGGACUACAUUUCCCAGGUCACCAUUGCAGGGGGCGGGUCCCACAUUGUGGCGUUUUGUCCCACCCCUCACAGUGCCACCACAGAGAUUAUUAUCUGGAACCUUGAGACUGAAGAUCAUAAACACAUCGCACGGUUUCCUGGCCUGCUGGCUCAUGGUGUGUGUUCAGACCUGCGGUACUGCGUGGGUUUCUGUCCUGGGGAGCGAUUCUUACGCAUGUGGAACCUGGGAUCCAGAAUAAAUGACCCAACACUCACAUAUAACGUGCACAAAGUACACAGCGACGGCACCACGGAGAUUGUAACCAUGCAGAGAUAUCCAAGGUAUGUAGUGUGUCAAAGCACCCGUCCCGGGACUGUGAGAAUCUGGAAUGUGGCACGGACGCGAUUCAAAGGUCGUCCUGUGCAGGUGGAGCAUGGCCUGUUCUCCAGUUCAGACAUCGCUCUUGUACGAGACCUCAAACUCUAUAUCCUGUCUGACCGCGGUACUGCCAACUUCACCGAUACGCCUACAUCUGUCUACCAGGUACUUCUGUGCACCUCACAGACUACAGGUAUUAUACGGGACCCAUAUUUAUGCUGGUCUGACGCCCUGUCCUGAGAUCUGUCACCUGAAACUGAAGCUGAUUGUAUAGUUGUUUAUGCUUGUCAACCAUGCUCACACUUGCAUCAAGUCCAUCUUCCGCAAUGUCUCCAAUUAAUUAAAACAUGGUUAAGGCUUCCGGUCACUUUUUUGGUGACUCAUGAGAUGCCUCUUCACAAGGAUGAAGGACUAUUGUGUUGUUUCAAAUACAGUUAACGCUAAAAUAGAUCAUUAGCUAUUAAUGAUCAGUGUCAUUUUUUCAGUAAAUCAAUCAAAUCAGUAAAAUGUAAAUAAAUACAUACAUAAAAAGGGGAAAAAUAAACA